GUGACGUCUUUCUGAACUCCCUCGGCCGUCUGAGCUUCCACAGUACCAUUCGGACUCCUCCAGCAGUUAACCUUCCACAGUGUCCUCCAGAUUCCUUCGAUGGAUGAACUCCUAUCAUACCCUCUGGACUUCUCCAAUAAUGAGCCCCUCCAGUCAUCUAUCGGACUGCUCCAAAUGCUCUCGAAACUUCACUAUCAGUCGAU
RNAcentral lists this long non-coding RNA (203 nucleotides) under Elaeis guineensis (African oil palm). RNAcentral describes it as "long non-coding RNA (EGUI_LNC081254)". The record is from RNAcentral. Lineage: Eukaryota; Viridiplantae; Streptophyta; Magnoliopsida; Arecales; Arecaceae.